CUUUGACCUCAAAUCAGGUAGGAGUACCCGCUGAACUUAAGCAUAUCAAUAAGCGGAGGA
RNAcentral lists this ribosomal RNA (60 nucleotides) under Candida tropicalis. RNAcentral describes it as "partial 28S ribosomal RNA". It matches the Rfam family "Eukaryotic large subunit ribosomal RNA", at positions 1 to 57 of the family's 3401-position model. Lineage: Eukaryota; Fungi; Ascomycota; Pichiomycetes; Serinales; Debaryomycetaceae. The record is from RNAcentral.